RNA transcript from Glycine soja, 2029 nucleotides. It is a transcript of the gene named purple acid phosphatase 18-like, with no coding region annotated. The transcript has 6 exons. Lineage: Eukaryota; Viridiplantae; Streptophyta; Magnoliopsida; Fabales; Fabaceae. The record is from RefSeq and is a predicted model, not a curated record.
AUAUGAAAUUAUGCAACAAAUUAGCCACACAGUGACCAAAAAAGGGAUGUACUAUUGAGAAACAAAAUCCACGGACCUCAAUCACGGCGUGGUGAAUGCUGAUGAUAAUAGAUUCUCCUGAACUUGAAGUACAUUGUUGUCGUGCUGCUGAUCCAACGUUUGCAGAGGUUUCUGUUGUGUUCACAGUUCACACACAAAUGGAACUGAAACUACUUCUAAUAACGGUUUUAAUGAUGGUGUCACUUUCUGCAACUGCAGCAGCUGAUUACAUUCGACCUCAGCCUCGAAAAACCUUCCAUCUCCCAUGGCAUUCUAAACCCUCCUCUUACCCUCAACAGGUACACAUUUCUUUAGCAGGAGAACAGCACAUGAGAGUUACCUGGAUUACUGAUGAUAACUCUGCACCUUCAAUUGUAGAAUAUGGAACAUCACCAGGGCGAUAUGACUCUGUAGCUGAAGGAGAAACCACCUCUUACAGUUAUCUGUUGUAUAGCUCAGGAAAGAUACACCAUACUGUAAUUGGGCCUUUAGAGCAUAAUUCUGUGUACUAUUACCGAUGUGGUGGACAAGGUCCUCAGUUCCAGCUCAGAACUCCUCCAGCUCAACUUCCAAUCACUUUUGCCGUGGCUGGUGAUUUGGGUCAAACCGGAUGGACUAAAUCAACAUUGGAUCACAUUGACCAAUGUAAAUAUAAUGUUCACCUGCUUCCGGGAGACCUUUCAUAUGCUGAUUAUAUCCAGCAUCGCUGGGACUCGUUUGGUAGGCUAGUGCAGCCACUUGCUAGUGCUAGACCAUGGAUGGUAACACAAGGAAACCAUGAAGUAGAGAGCAUACCUUUGUUAAAGGAUGGGUUUUUGUCCUAUAAUUCCAGAUGGAAAAUGCCAUUUGAGGAAAGCGGAUCAAAUUCAAAUCUCUAUUAUUCGUUUGAAGUUGCAGGUGUUCACAUUAUCAUGCUUGGGUCCUAUGCAGAUUAUGAUGAGUACUCUGAACAAUAUGGAUGGCUAAAGGAAGAUCUGUCAAAGGUGGAUAGGGAAAGGACACCUUGGUUGAUUGUGUUAUUUCAUGUACCAUGGUAUAAUAGUAACACAGCUCAUCAAGGUGAAGGGGCUGAUAUGAUGGCAUCUAUGGAGCCAUUGCUUUAUGCUGCUAGCGCCGAUUUAGUUCUUGCCGGUCAUGUGCAUGCUUAUGAACGCUCAAAACGUGUAUACAAUAAAAGACUUGAUCCUUGUGGUUCAGUCCAUAUAACCAUCGGUGAUGGAGGAAACAAAGAAGGUUUAGCUCCUAAGUAUAUAAAUCCACAGCCAAUAUGGUCAGAAUUCCGUGAAGCCAGUUUUGGUCAUGGUGAGCUACAGAUUGUAAACUCUACGCAUGCUUUCUGGAGUUGGCACAGGAAUGAUGAUGAUGAGCCAGUAAAAUCCGAUGAUAUCUGGAUAACAUCUUUGACCUGCUCAGGAUGUGUUGAUCAGAAGAGAAAUGAACUCAGGAAUAAACUUAUGACACCUUAAAAUCCCCUGAUCUUGUUAUUUCUCAACGACAGAAUAGCAAGAGUUUGGUCGUGUAUGCAAAUCAUGAGACAAUUCCUCAUACUAGUAAAUAGCACUAAAUUAGAAGCAUGAGUAGUUUGACCUUGGGUCCUUGGACAUGAUGCUGUUGCUUGUUAUGGGAAAAUGGUAAACUUUCUUAUUAGAUAUUUUGGAGGAUGGAGGGUAUUGUCUAGACCCUUUUCAUAUUCAAAAUUGGCCAAGGUUCUAAUAUCCAAGGAGGGGAUGAACACGUGAUUGGCAUUUGGCAAGUUGGUGAAGUUUCUCAUUUAUGAUGCUCUCCUGAUAACUGAUUGUGCUUAUGACGAGGAAAGGUGUGUGUUGUUGAAAUAAAAAUGGUUGAGCUUUAUUCAACCAAACCAGGCCAACCCGUUAAGAUCAUUAGCUAUAACAUGUAAAGAUAGAAUCAUGGUUUUAAACUUCCGUCCGCAACCACAAUUGUACCUGUGACUGUAACGUAAUGCUUUUUCGAUUGUUUGCAACUGCAA